This 72-nucleotide transfer RNA is filed under the name Symposiachrus trivirgatus. RNAcentral describes it as "tRNA-Glu". It matches the Rfam family "tRNA". From Rfam's summary of the family: Transfer RNA (tRNA) molecules are approximately 80 nucleotides in length. Lineage: Eukaryota; Metazoa; Chordata; Aves; Passeriformes; Monarchidae. The record is from RNAcentral.
GUUCCUAUAGUUAAACUUUGAUAACGGUGGCUUUUCAGGCCAUAGGUCUUGGAGAGAGUCCGAGUAGGAAUU